UCCGGUUUGUCACCGGCAGUCUCCUUAGAGUUCCCACCAUUACGUGCUGGCAACUAAGGACAAGGGUUGCGCUCGUUGCGGGACUUAACCCAACAUCUCACGGCACGAGCUGACGACAGCCAUGCAGCACCUGUGCUAGCCCCUUACGGACACCGGCUUUCACCGGCUUUAACUAGCAUGUCAAGCCUAGGUACGGUUCUUCGCGUUGCAUCGAAUUAAGCCACAUGCUCCGCCGCUUGUGCGGGCCCCCGUCAAUUCCUUUGAGUUUCAUUCUUGCGAACGUACUCCCCAGGCGGGAUACUUAACGCGUUAGCUACAGCAUUGCACGGGUCGAUACGCACAGCGCCUAGUAUCCAUCGUUUACGGCUGGGACUAC
RNAcentral lists this unclassified non-coding RNA (376 nucleotides) under uncultured bacterium. RNAcentral describes it as "contains 16S-23S intergenic spacer region". The record is from RNAcentral.